UGGGGAAUUUUGGACAAUGGGGGAAACCCUGAUCCAGCCAUUCCGCGUGUGCGAUGAAGGCCUUCGGGUUGUAAAGCACUUUUGGCAGGAAAGAAAUCGUGUGGGUUAAUACCCUGCGCGGAUGACGGUACCUGCAGAAUAAGCACCGGCUAACUACGUGCCAGCAGCCGCGGUAAUACGUAGGGUGCAAGCGUUAAUCGGAAUUACUGGGCGUAAAGCGUGCGCAGGCGGUUCGGAAAGAAGGAUGUGAAAUCCCAGGGCUUAACCUUGGAACUGCAUUCUUAACUACCGGGCUAGAGUGUGUCAGAGGGAGGUGGAAUUCCGCGUGUAGCAGUGAAAUGCGUAGAUAU
RNAcentral lists this ribosomal RNA (350 nucleotides) under uncultured bacterium. RNAcentral describes it as "bacterial SSU rRNA". It matches the Rfam family "Bacterial small subunit ribosomal RNA", at positions 355 to 697 of the family's 1533-position model. The record is from RNAcentral.